RNAcentral lists this long non-coding RNA (1047 nucleotides) under Anolis carolinensis (green anole). Its description in RNAcentral is "lncRNA (ENSACAG00000037491.1)". Lineage: Eukaryota; Metazoa; Chordata; Lepidosauria; Squamata; Anolidae. The record is from RNAcentral.
AUGGCGCGCGAAGUGGAGCGCCAGCGAGCUCUGGGAACUCUGAGGCCGCCAUCUCCAACAGAGCUCCCAACCCCCCGAAUGGGCGUCGGGGUGGAAAGGCCACUGGGGCCAGGGAUCGGGUCCAGUGGAUUUGCAGACGAAGGCGGAGAGGAGCGGGGGAUCCAGGAAGAGGAGGAGGAAGUGCCGUACGACGAGGAAAGGCGAGAUGAGGGGGCUACAGCGAGGCCAGUAUGCGGAUGGGCGGAAGGGCCGACAGCGGCGGCAGACUUUCGGGAGCCGCGCAGAAUGACCACCGGAGUGGGGCGCGGCGUGUUCCAAGGAGCCGCCCGAGGAAACCUGAUGCAACCCUUCCCCAUGCCUCCCAGACAGCAUCAACGGGCCGCAGAAUGGAUGCCAAGAAGGGAAGAUCUCAAACUGGAAUACGGAGGGGAAUCAGAUGAACUGAACUUUUUUCUAAUUAGCAUCAGAGGAUACAUGGAAGACAAUGCACACACAUUCCCCUCCGAAGCAAGCAGGGUUCGAGCCAUCGGCAACACACUAAAGCGAGGAGCAGCCAGCUGGUACGUGCAACUCCAUGCCAGACACGACCCAUGCCUGAGGUCAGUGCCCCGCUUCCUCGCCGCACUGGAAAACCGGUUCAGAGACCGGCUAGAGCAAUUGAGGGCUCGAGACCAGCUGAAAGGAAUAAAGCAGAGGGACAAAACAGUGCCCGAGUACGCAGAGGAAUUCCUCCACCUCGCGGAAAGGGUACCAGAGUGGUCUGAAGUGACCAAAGUGGAGUUAUUUAAAGAGGGACUACGCCCCGAGAUUUUCAGCUGGGCAGCGCACAGAGAUGACCCCGAAACGCUCCAGGGAUGGAUUCAACUAGCGGGGCGCGUCGAAUCCACCCUGGCCCAAGUAAAGCGCUUCAGAAGCAGCAGCGGCCAGCAAAGACCGGUGGCGAGAGGUCGAGGAGAAACGAGGAAGCAGGAAAGACCCGGAGAGAGGCGGGGGAUUCCCUCCAGGGAGACGAACAACAAACUUAAACGGGGAUGCUUUUGUAUUGUG